AGGCCCUGAGGUGUUACACGUGGGGUUGCAAACCCCAAGACGCAGUUAGUUCCUGCCGGGGCUUC
This 65-nucleotide transfer RNA is filed under the name Limnodynastes salmini (salmon-striped frog). RNAcentral describes it as "tRNA-Cys". The record is from RNAcentral. Lineage: Eukaryota; Metazoa; Chordata; Amphibia; Anura; Limnodynastidae.